UACGUAGGUGGCGAGCGUUGUCCGGAUUUAUUGGGUUUAAAGGGUGCGCAGGCGGGGGAUUAAGUCGGCGGUGAAAUUUUGCGGCUCAACCGUAAAAGUGCCUUCGAAACUGGUUUCCUUGAGUGUAGAUGAAGUAGGCGGAAUUUGUGGUGUAGCGGUGAAAUGCAUAGAUAUCACGAGGAACUCCGAUUGCGCAGGCAGCUUACUAAACUACUACUGACGCUCAUGCACGAAGGCGUGGGGAUCAAACAGGAUUAGAUACCCUGGUAGUCCCU
Molecule: ribosomal RNA, 275 nt
Filed under: uncultured prokaryote
Description: partial 16S ribosomal RNA
Rfam family: Bacterial small subunit ribosomal RNA
Source: RNAcentral